GGUUCGGGUCCCAUCGUGUAACAGGGACUCGGCCCUCCUAAUUGGAGGAGUUUGUGGUGAGCUGAACAAGAUAAACUGAUACAAGUGCGCCGCGAGAUAAGCCGAGUCUGCCUCCCGUAAUUGGCUGAAUUCGAAAGUGAAGAGGCCUCGCGUGGACGGAUCAACCAGCUUCCACCGCGAAGCGGUCGAUCAUCGCCGAUCCCACGGAGAUAGCGACCAUCCCCGAGAUCCAGAAAACAGCUGAACCGAGCACGAAGGUCGCCGGCCAUGGAAUAUAAUUAGUCCGCCACUUACGGAGCAGCCGGAGUAGCUACGGGUCCGCUGAAACAUGCGGUCCGCGCAUCGGAAAUCGGUCUUUGUGCGAACACGUGCGGACCACAAGCGACCCGUUUCCUUCUUAAACGCAACGGGGACCCUGGAAAACCCCAACGUGGCCGGCCGCACGGAAAACCCUUGAACGGUCAGAUUUUCAGAAACAUUUGGCCACCGCCAAGGACUUCCUGCCUCUUACGGAGACGCCUCGGCUCCGAUAGGAUUCUCCGAACGCCUGGGAUAUUAACGUUCCAUUGUUCCACGCGUCUUCCCUCUGAAUUGUUAAAGAACCCACGGACGUGUGAGCGGAGAAUAGGAUUCCGGGGGGAUGCUUUGAAAUUUUUCAGACAAUUCGUUUCGCGGUGAACGGAGGAGAGAACGCGGGAGCACGGGAAAAGGGCGA
Molecule: long non-coding RNA, 715 nt
Organism: Nomia melanderi (Alkali bee)
Lineage: Eukaryota; Metazoa; Arthropoda; Insecta; Hymenoptera; Halictidae
Source: RefSeq, a predicted model, not a curated record